Molecule: ribosomal RNA, 692 nt
Filed under: uncultured bacterium
Lineage: Bacteria
Description: bacterial SSU rRNA
Rfam family: Bacterial small subunit ribosomal RNA
Source: RNAcentral
GUCGAGCGGUAGAGAGGUGCUUGCACCUCUUGAGAGCGGCGGACGGGUGAGUAAAGCCUAGGAAUCUGCCUGGUAGUGGGGGAUAACGCUCGGAAACGGACGCUAAUACCGCAUACGUCCUACGGGAGAAAGCAGGGGACCUUCGGGCCUUGCGCUAUCAGAUGAGCCUAGGUCGGAUUAGCUAGUUGGUGAGGUAAUGGCCCACCAAGGCGACGAUCCGUAACUGGUCUGAGAGGAUGAUCAGUCACACUGGAACUGAGACACGGUCCAGACUCCUACGGGAGGCAGCAGUGGGGAAUAUUGGACAAUGGGCGAAAGCCUGAUCCAGCCAUGCCGCGUGUGUGAAGAAGGUCUUCGGAUUGUAAAGCACUUUAAGUUGGGAGGAAGGGCAUUAACCUAAUACGUUAGUGUUUUGACGUUACCGACAGAAUAAGCACCGGCUAACUCUGUGCCAGCAGCCGCGGUAAUACAGAGGGUGCAAGCGUUAAUCGGAAUUACUGGGCGUAAAGCGCGCGUAGGUGGUUCGUUAAGUUGGAUGUGAAAUCCCCGGGCUCAACCUGGGAACUGCAUUCAAAACUGUCGAGCUAGAGUAUGGUAGAGGGUGGUGGAAUUUCCUGUGUAGCGGUGAAAUGCGUAGAUAUAGGAAGGAACACCAGUGGCGAAGGCGACCACCUGGACUGAUACUGACACUG